Molecule: long non-coding RNA, 1872 nt
Organism: Hemicordylus capensis (graceful crag lizard)
Lineage: Eukaryota; Metazoa; Chordata; Lepidosauria; Squamata; Cordylidae
Exons: 3
Source: RefSeq, a predicted model, not a curated record
GGGUGGGGAGAUCACUGAGGUGAGGGGAGCAAUCAAGUACUAACACGCAGAUGCUCUAGAGUGUGCAAGAGUUCCAGCAUUGAAGCGGAGAGAAAUAAUGGCGGUGGUGAGGAUGCAGAGAUGGAGGGCCAGCAGGUGAAGCCCCUCCAGCCAGAAGAGGAUCAGAGCGGUUUCCCAGCCUCUCUAUGCAAACCCAGCAACACAAAAUGUGUCCAUUAGCAUUUCAAGGAGCUUCCUAUUAACAGUGGCAAGAAAAGCUCCUCUCGGAUCUGAAAACUGGCCCUUGUUGUCUCUACUUCAUGUCUAGAUUGGAUGUUCAUGGUCGAUUCCAAUAAGCAUCAGAGGGACACUUUCGUAAAGGAAGCCACCUCAUUAUCAAGGAACUGAAGAUUCCUCUUUCCUUCUUCCAUGCCAAGAAAAUCGUGAUGAAGAACCGGGAAGCAUCUUGGGUCUACAGUAAGAGAUGCUUUUGUACAUUUGUGAACUGUGAGGCAAGAGCAAACAUUCUUGGCUGUAGUUUUGUAAGAGGUUUUAACAAAGUAAGAAUAAUGAUGAUACGGUACUGCCUUUGAGAUUAUUUUGAAUUUUCUAGCUAGUGUUACAACAGUACUAGAAAUACACUUAAAUAAUAAUAUAAUAUAUUGUUAGAUAAUCAUGUAUACUUAUUCAUGAUGCAGUUACUUUUAUCUGAAAGCCCAAAUCCACAAUUAGGCACAUAAAAAUUAAACAUUUUAAACAUAGAUUUGGCAAUGGUCAUCUGGUACACAAAAUUACUGGUGCAUGUGCUCCAUCUCUGAAACAUCCUUGGGUCAUUUAAUUGCAUGGAGCCUGUAGUGUGAUUGGUUUUAGCCAUUGCUACAGCCCUUUAAAGUUCUCAUACAUAGGUUACAUACACUGGACACUUUAUUGUGAGGUUUUACUGGGAGUUCCAAGUUGCUCCCUCCCCCCCAAAAGAGGAAUUUUUUACCCUGGAUAUAAAUUGGGCUGCACUCUAACAUGCAAUGAAAAACCUGAAUCACGUGUGAAGUGAUCGCCAAUAGUUCGCAGGGACUUUGGGGUAAAUCUAGCCAAUAUGUGAAUGCACAUCCUCAAGUCUGGAGGAGAUACAAGCUAAAAGCCCUGUAUUGAAAACACCCAAGAUUUCAGAUGGCAUUUUCAGAUGCUAUUUUCAAUCCCAGGAUGCCAGGGAUUGAACCUGGCACCUCCUGCAUGCAAAGCAGAUGCUCUGUCAUUGGAUACAUACAGUGCCAUCCCCUAUAAAGCUAAAGCAUAAAGGGGAUCAGACCUAGGGAUGUGCAUGAAUUAAAAAUUGGGAUUCAAUUCGAGUUAAAUUGAAACAGAAGGAUUUCAAUUUGAUCUAAAAUCCAGUCUUCCCCAAACAGGCCGGAUUAGAUUUGGAAUGGUUUUGAUUUGACUCAGUCCAAAUCAAUUUGACUGUCUUUUAAGUUUAAUGGGGGAAGAGGGAGGGAGAAGGAGGAGAGCCUCCUUCUAUCAUUGUUGUUGUUGUUUUUUAAAAGGGCACAGAAGCACCCAGUACCUGAUGAAAUGCAGAGGGCACAGGGGUGGGGAGGCAGUGGUGGUGACUCGCCCGCCAUCCCCCUGGGGCCCAGCAGCUGCCAGUUCCAAAAAGAAGAGGCACUGAGGUGCCUUUGAAGGGCUCCUGGCAGUACUACUGCAGAGCUGGCAGUAGAGGGAGUAGAGGCAAGGGGAGAGGGAGUGGGAGGAAGGCCACAUUUCAGCCUUUAAAAAAAACACCCUAAACACUAAGAAGUGCCAGGGCACUCCAAAAUUACCAAAAUUAUUUGUGCACAAAAACACCAGUGUUCUAGCAAAAAACAACAACAACCCCACACUGGGCUAUCCCUUUAAAUG